GGUAUAGUUCUUCGGAAUUAGAGACCGGCGCACGGGUGCGUAACGCGUAUGCAAUCUACCUUUUACAGAGGGAUAGCCCAGAGAAAUUUGGAUUAAUACCUCAUAGUAUUAUGAAAUGGCAUCAUUUUAUAAUUAAAGUCACAACGGUAAAAGAUGAGCAUGCGUCCCAUUAGCUAGUUGGUAAGGUAACGGCUUACCAAGGCUACGAUGGGUAGGGGUCCUGAGAGGGAGAUCCCCCACACUGGUACUGAGACACGGACCAGACUCCUACGGGAGGCAGCAGUGAGGAAUAUUGGACAAUGGGCGCAAGCCUGAUCCAGCCAUGCCGCGUGCAGGAUGACGGUCCUAUGGAUUGUAAACUGCUUUUAUACAGGAAGAAACCCUGGUUCGUGAACCAGCUUGACGGUACUGUAAGAAUAAGGAUCGGCUAACUCCGUGCCAGCAGCCGCGGUAAUACGGAGGAUCCAAGCGUUAUCCGGAAUCAUUGGGUUUAAAGGGUCCGUAGGCGGUUUAGUAAGUCAGUGGUGAAAGCCCAUCGCUCAACGGUGGAACGGCCAUUGAUACUGCUAAACUUGAAUUAUUAGGAAGUAACUAGAAUAUGUAGUGUAGCGGUGAAAUGCUUAGAGAUUACAUGGAAUACCAAUUGCGAAGGCAGGUUACUACUAAUUGAUUGACGCUGAUGGACGAAAGCGUGGGUAGCGAACAGGAUUAGAUACCCUGGUAGUCCACGCCGUAAACGAUGGAUACUAGCUGUUGGGGGCAACUUCAGUGGCUAAGCGAAAGUGAUAAGUAUCCCACCUGGGGAGUACGUUCGCAAGAAUGAAACUCAAAGGAAUUGACGGGGGCCCGCACAAGCGGUGGAGCAUGUGGUUUAAUUCGAUGAUACGCGAGGAACCUUACCAAGGCUUAAAUGUAGUUUGACCGAUUUGGAAACAGAUUUUUCGCAAGACAAAUUACAAGGUGCUGCAUGGUUGUCGUCAGCUCGUGCCGUGAGGUGUCAGGUUAAGUCCUAUAACGAGCGCAACCCCUGUUGUUAGUUGCCAGCGAGUCAUGUCGGGAACUCUAACAAGACUGCCAGUGCAAACUGUGAGGAAGGUGGGGAUGACGUCAAAUCAUCACGGCCCUUACGCCUUGGGC
RNAcentral lists this ribosomal RNA (1137 nucleotides) under Flavobacterium sp. Its description in RNAcentral is "bacterial SSU rRNA". It matches the Rfam family "Bacterial small subunit ribosomal RNA", at positions 66 to 1214 of the family's 1533-position model. Lineage: Bacteria; Pseudomonadati; Bacteroidota; Flavobacteriia; Flavobacteriales; Flavobacteriaceae. The record is from RNAcentral.